UUAUUAACAGACCGCCGUCAUAUAGGUGGAAUAUUGCUGAGUGCGUCUUCAAGCAACAAACAAACAAAAAUUAAAAAUAUCACCUUGGCCCAGGGAAAUACUCAUGCGUAGGUUGCAUCUUGAAGGCCUUUGUUUGUCCACUUACUUUAGCAUUCUUAUGUUCGUGGCAAAGUUUGGAGUAGUGCAAAAGAGAAAAAAACAUUUCAAUAUCUUUAAAAUUUCACUUUUCCAGUGGGGCGAAAAUAGCCUCGAAUUUAGAACUUGGUAUGAUGAACAAGGGAGAUAAUUCUAUGGAUAUACAACUUCUUUAUUACAAUGACUGCGACGUAUAUAAUCGUAUCUCCUCUCUCCAAUCAACUUGUCCAUAUCAAUCCCUGUAUUGUUUUACCCACCGUGCCUUGUUAAUCCUAUUGAUGGACAUCGACCAGGCUUUAUACUUAUAUACAUUAUCUGUUGUAUAAAUAUUACCUUGUAUGGACAUCAAUUAUCCACAUAACCUUCUACUUCACAUUGAUGUUCAUCACUAGCUUGAUAACAGUGUUAGUAUUUACACCGAAACGUCGCAGUCUUUGUAAUAUAGUUGUAUAUCCAUAGUUAUCUCCCUUGUUUAUUAUAUUUGGUAUUCAGUGGUGCAAGGUGAUUAUUUGGGGAGAACAUGUUAUGUGGUUCCAUAUGCUACUCAAUUUCUGAUUUAGUAUGAUCGUACGGAUGCGAUGUCUACCAAGCUUGAUGUACGAGACCGCUGUCCCUUCCCCAGACGCACCCCAGACGAGAGUAGGGGAAGAAGGGUACGCAGCGGAUCACACCCCUACAACAGAAAGACGUUAGGCUGAUCAGGAACCGAGACGUCUUCACUUUUGCUGAAAUGGUAUCGGUGACAAGGUGGAGUGUGAACGCUGUGGUCUGAAGCUCCUCAACUGGACGGACACAGAUGACGCCCUACACGAACACGCCACCAGGAGGACUCACUGCCCCUUCAUCGUCUCCUUGUACCGGAAGCUG
Molecule: unclassified non-coding RNA, 1002 nt
Filed under: Haliotis rufescens (red abalone)
Lineage: Eukaryota; Metazoa; Mollusca; Gastropoda; Lepetellida; Haliotidae
Description: baculoviral IAP repeat-containing protein 7-like, transcript variant X1
Source: RNAcentral